CUUGUGCAACCCUUCAAAUCUUCUUUCUUCUUAAACAUAUUGUUGAAGCUAACCAGAUUUGGAGAUCUGCAAAUCGUCGGUGGAAGAGGUGGAGGAAGCCUAUCGGCGGAGGAGGUGGAGGAGGCCGUUAGUGGAGGAGGCCGGUCGGUGGAGGAGGUGGAAGAGGCCGUCGGUGGGGGAGGGUGAAAAUGAAGGAGGUCGGCGGUCUAGGAGGUUAAGGAGGCCGGCCGGUGGAGGAGUUGGAGGAGGCCGUCGGUAGAGGAGGUCGAAAAAUGAAGGAGGCCGUAGGCGGAAGAGGGUGAGGAGGCCUGUCGGUGGAGAAGGCCGUCGGUGGAAAAGGCCGAGUGGUGGAGGAGGGCGUCAAUGGAGGAGGCCAAAAAAUGAAGGAGGUCGUCGAUGGAGU
Molecule: long non-coding RNA, 403 nt
Filed under: Linum usitatissimum (flax)
Lineage: Eukaryota; Viridiplantae; Streptophyta; Magnoliopsida; Malpighiales; Linaceae
Description: long non-coding RNA (LUSI_LNC004036)
Source: RNAcentral